Molecule: long non-coding RNA, 90 nt
Organism: Melanotaenia boesemani (Boeseman's rainbowfish)
Lineage: Eukaryota; Metazoa; Chordata; Actinopteri; Atheriniformes; Melanotaeniidae
Exons: 3
Source: RefSeq, a predicted model, not a curated record
UCAAACUUUUAGAUGAUGUUUUUGUUUUGUUUCUUUAAUGGGGUUUCAAGCAGCUGUCGCAAGUCCAACACUUGAGUUUCAGAGAUUAUG